AUGGAUAGUUGUCCCAUCUUGUUCUGGAAUAUCCGGGGCCUUAACACCCCGGCGCGGAGAGGAGUGGCUAGGAGAUUAGUCAGCCAGUUCAAUGUAUCAGUCGUAUGCUUUCAAGAGUCAAAGUUGAGUGUUGUGGACCAGGAUCUGAUCAAGCAAUGUUGUGGAGCAGCGUUUAAUUCCUUUGUCUUCCAACCGGCCGCGGGAACCAGGAGAGGCAUUAUCUUUACUUGGAAAGGAGCAGAGAUUCAGAUAACCUAUAGUCACUGCACCGCUAGUUGGAUUGAGUUGCGCUGCUUACACCGCCGGUCUGGUAAAUGUUGGAGGAUGUUUGGUGUAUAUGGCCCCCAAAGAGAUGAUGAGAAGAUUGCCCUUCUGGCUGACCUCGAAGCCGCCAUGGCCGGCACUACCAUGCCCACUAUUUGUGCUGGAGAUUUUAACAUGAUCAGUGCAGCAUCUGAUAAGUCUAAUAAUAGAAUUAAUCGCCGCAUGCUUAACGCUUUCGCCGUUUCAUCAGUGACAUGGCACUCAAAGAUAUGUACCUACACGAAAGGACCUACACUUGGUCCAACGAGCAACAAGCUGCCACAUUGGUCAAGCUCGACUGGGUCCUGUACAAUGAGGCAUGGCAUGACUCUUUUCCGGCCUGCCUACUGCAAGGCAUUACCACAGCGAUGA
RNAcentral lists this ribosomal RNA (675 nucleotides) under Triticum aestivum (bread wheat). Its description in RNAcentral is "partial small subunit ribosomal RNA". Lineage: Eukaryota; Viridiplantae; Streptophyta; Magnoliopsida; Poales; Poaceae. The record is from RNAcentral.